AGAGUUUGAUCCUGGCUCAGGAUGAACGCUGGCGGCGUGCUUAACACAUGCAAGUCGAACGAAGCACUUUAUUUGAUUUCCUUCGGGACUGAUUAUUUUGUGACUGAGUGGCGGACGGGUGAGUAACGCGUGGGUAACCUGCCUUGUACAGGGGGAUAACAGUUGGAAACGGCUGCUAAUACCGCAUAAGCGCACGGCAUCGCAUGAUGCAGUGUGAAAAACUCCGGUGGUAUAAGAUGGACCCGCGUUGGAUUAGCUGGUUGGUGGGGUAACGGCCCACCAAGGCGACGAUCCAUAGCCGGCCUGAGAGGGUGAACGGCCACAUUGGGACUGAGACACGGCCCAGACUCCUACGGGAGGCAGCAGUGGGGAAUAUUGCACAAUGGGGGAAACCCUGAUGCAGCGACGCCGCGUGAAGGAAGAAGUAUCUCGGUAUGUAAACUUCUAUCAGCAGGGAAGAUAAUGACGGUACCUGACUAAGAAGCCCCGGCUAACUACGUGCCAGCAGCCGCGGUAAUACGUAGGGGGCAAGCGUUAUCCGGAUUUACUGGGUGUAAAGGGAGCGUAGACGGUGUGGCAAGUCUGAUGUGAAAGGCAUGGGCUCAACCCGUGGACUGCAUUGGAAACUGUCAUACUAGAGUGUCGGAGGGGUAAGCGGAAUUCCUAGUGUAGCGGUGAAAUGCGUAGAUAUUAGGAGGAACACCAGUGGCGAAGGCGGCCUACUGGGCACCAACUGACGCUGAGGCUCGAAAGUGUGGGUAGCAAACAGGAUUAGAUACCCUGGUAGUCCACACCGUAAACGAUGAUUACUAGGUGUUGGAGGAUUGACCCCUUCAGUGCCGCAGUUAACACAAUAAGUAAUCCACCUGGGGAGUACGACCGCAAGGUUGAAACUCAAAGGAAUUGACGGGGACCCGCACAAGCGGAGGAACAUGUGGUUUAAUUCGAUGAUACGCGAGGAACCUUACCCGGGCUUAAAUUGCAAAUGAAUUAUGGGGAAACCCAUAGGCCGUAAGGCAUUUGUGAAGGUGCUGCAUGGUUGUCGUCAGCUCGUGCCGUGAGGUGUCGGCUUAAGUGCCAUAACGAGCGCAACCCUUAUCUUCAGUUACUAACAGGUCAUGCUGAGGACUCUGGAGAGACUGCCGUCGUAAGAUGUGAGGAAGGUGGGGAUGACGUCAAAUCAGCACGGCCCUUACGUCCGGGGCUACACACGUGUUACAAUGGGGGGUACAGAAGGCCGCUACCUGGUGACAGGAUGCCAAUCCCAAAAACCUCUCUCAGUUCGGAUCGAAGUCUGCAACCCGACUUCGUGAAGCUGGAUUCGCUAGUAAUCGCGCAUCAGCCAUGGCGCGGUGAAUACGUUCCCGGGCCUUGUACACACCGCCCGUCA
Molecule: ribosomal RNA, 1390 nt
Filed under: uncultured bacterium
Lineage: Bacteria
Description: partial 16S ribosomal RNA
Rfam family: Bacterial small subunit ribosomal RNA
Source: RNAcentral